This 291-nucleotide long non-coding RNA is filed under the name Gossypium barbadense (sea-island cotton). Its description in RNAcentral is "long non-coding RNA (GBAR_LNC003425)". The record is from RNAcentral. Lineage: Eukaryota; Viridiplantae; Streptophyta; Magnoliopsida; Malvales; Malvaceae.
CUAGUAGAGAGUGAGAGACUUGUAGCUGAAAAUGAAACAACGGGAGCUUAAGCCUUUUGGCCGACAUUUAUCACAAAUCUAGCAUGUAUCAUCUUCUGAGGGCCGAUGAUGGUAUCAACUUCUUCAUUAUCAAUCAACUCUAGAGCUACAAUUCAUAUGGAUAUAGAUGAUCAAUAAAAGUUAAAAAUAAUUAUACUUGAAUUAAAAGUACAUAGAUAAAAAUAUCUUUUUAUCUUAGACCAAUUCCCAUUAUCUUGUCCUUUCUUUUUUAUGGUCCCACUUCUGUAACCC